This 490-nucleotide ribosomal RNA is filed under the name uncultured bacterium. RNAcentral describes it as "partial 16S ribosomal RNA". It matches the Rfam family "Bacterial small subunit ribosomal RNA", at positions 30 to 507 of the family's 1533-position model. The record is from RNAcentral.
AUUGAACGCUGGCGGCAGGCCUAACACAUGCAAGUCGAACGGUAACAGGAAGCAGCUUGCUGCUUCGCUGACGAGUGGCGGACAGGUGAGUAAUGUCUGGGAAGCUGCCUGAUGGAGGGGGAUAACUACUGGAAACGGUAGCUAAUACCGCAUAAUGUCGCAAGACCAAAGAGGGGGACCUUCGGGCCUCUUGCCAUCGGAUGUGCCCAGAUGGGAUUAGCUUGUUGGUGGGGUAACGGCUCACCAAGGCGACGAUCCCUAGCUGGUCUGAGAGGAUGACCAGCCACACUGGGACUGAGGCACGGUCCAGACUCCUACGGGAGGCAGCAGUGGGGAAUAUUGCACAAUGGGCGCAAGCCUGAUGCAGCCAUGCCGCGUGUAUGAAGAAGGCCUUCGGGUUGUAAAGUACUUUCAGCGGGGAGGAAGGGAGUAAAGUUAAUACCUUUGCUCAUUGACGUUACCCGCAGAAGAAGCACCGGCUAACUCCGUG